GACGUAGGGCGCGAGCGUUGUCCGGAUUUAUUGGGCGUAAAGAGCUCGUAGGCGGCUUGUCGCGUCGAAUGUGAAAACCUGAGGCUCAACCUCAGGCCUGCAGUCGAUACGAGCAGACUAGAGUGUUGCAGGGGAGACUGGAAUUCCUGGUGUAGCGGUGAAAUGCGCAGAUAUCAGGAGGAACACCGGUGGCGAAGGCGGGUCUCUAGUACGGUACUGACGCUGAGACGCGAAAGCGUGGGGAGCAAACAGG
RNAcentral lists this ribosomal RNA (253 nucleotides) under uncultured bacterium. RNAcentral's name for it is "partial 16S ribosomal RNA". It matches the Rfam family "Bacterial small subunit ribosomal RNA", at positions 524 to 776 of the family's 1533-position model. The record is from RNAcentral.